UUGAACGCUGGCGGCAGGCCUAACACAUGCCAGUCGAACGGUAACAGGAAGAAGCUUGCUUCUUUGCUGACGAGUGGCGGACGGGUGAGUAAUGUCUGGGAAACUGCCUGAUGGAGGGGGAUAACUACUGGAAACGGUAGCUAAUACCGCAUAACGUCGCAAGACCAAAGAGGGGGACCUUCGGGCCUCUUGCCAUCGGAUGUGCCCAGAUGGGAUUAGCUUGUUGGUGGGGUAACGGCUCACCAAGGCGACGAUCCCUAGCUGGUCUGAGAGGAUGACCAGCCACACGGGAACUGAGACACGGUCCAGACCCCUACGGGGGGAGGCAGGGGGAAUAUUGCACAAUGGGCGCAAGCCUGAUGCAGCCAUGCCGCGUGUAUGAAGAAGGCCUUCGGGUUGUAAAGUACUUUCAGCGGGGAGGAAGGGAGUAAAGUUAAUACCUUUGCUCAUUGACGUUACCCGCAGAAGAAGCACCGGCUAACUCCGUG
This 488-nucleotide ribosomal RNA is filed under the name uncultured bacterium. RNAcentral's name for it is "partial 16S ribosomal RNA". It matches the Rfam family "Bacterial small subunit ribosomal RNA", at positions 30 to 507 of the family's 1533-position model. The record is from RNAcentral.